GACGUAGGUGGCGAACGUUAUCCGGAAUUAUUGGGCGUAAAGGGCGCGUAGGCGGCUUGGCAAGUGGAAGGUGAAAUCCCUCGGCUUAACCGAGGAACUGCCCUCCAAACUGCUUCGCUUGAGACCGGGAGAGGUGAGUGGAAUUCCCAGUGUAGCGGUGAAAUGCGUAGAUAUUGGGAGGAACACCAGUGGCGAAGGCGGCUCACUGGACCGGUACUGACGCUGAUGCGCGAAAGCGUGGGGAGCAAACGGG
RNAcentral lists this ribosomal RNA (253 nucleotides) under uncultured bacterium. Its description in RNAcentral is "partial 16S ribosomal RNA". It matches the Rfam family "Bacterial small subunit ribosomal RNA", at positions 524 to 776 of the family's 1533-position model. The record is from RNAcentral.